UACGGAAGGCAGCAGUGGGGAAUAUUGCACAAUGGGCGCAAGCCUGAUGCAGCCAUGCCGCGUGUAUGAAAAAGGCCUUCGGGUUGUAAAGUACUUUCAGUCGUGAGGAAGGUGUUAAGGUUAAUAACCUUAGCAAUUGACGUUAGCGACAGAAGAAGCACCGGCUAACUCCGUGCCAGCAGCCGCGGUAAUACGGAGGGUGCGAGCGUUAAUCGGAAUUACUGGGCGUAAAGGGCACGCAGGCGGUUAAUUAAGUUGGAUGUGAAAUCCCCGGGCUUAACCUGGGAAUGGCAUUCAAGACUGGUUAGCUAGAGUCUUGUAGAGGGGGUAGAAUUCCGAUGUGUAGCGGUGAAAUGCGUAGAGAUGUGGAGGAAUACCGGUGGCGAAGGCGGCCCCUGGACAAAGGCUGACGCUCAUGUGCGAAAGCGUGGGGAGCGAAACAGGGAUUAGAUA
RNAcentral lists this ribosomal RNA (453 nucleotides) under uncultured bacterium. RNAcentral's name for it is "bacterial SSU rRNA". It matches the Rfam family "Bacterial small subunit ribosomal RNA", at positions 340 to 784 of the family's 1533-position model. The record is from RNAcentral.